Arabidopsis thaliana (thale cress) is the source of this 359-nucleotide long non-coding RNA. RefSeq annotates it as other RNA. Lineage: Eukaryota; Viridiplantae; Streptophyta; Magnoliopsida; Brassicales; Brassicaceae. The record is from RefSeq. The transcript has a single exon.
GCGAUGUCUUGCGUAUUUUCACCUGUUCCUCAUAUAAGAAUCAACAAGAGACUCGCUCAAGUAAGCCUUGAAUGUUUUCCACAGUUUCAAUCCAUUCUCAUAGAUCAAUCAAACAACAACAUUCCUUUCACAAAACAUAAGACCAAAACAAAAAUCAUGAUUCCACAUAAUCUUAAACCCUAGUCGAGUAGAAGAAUCAUCCCACUUUUAACACAUGAGUCAAAUAAACCACAAAGUUACACUUCCUCAACUCUAAAUCCCUAAUUUUGGGGGAGAUUACUUCACUUCCAUCUCAUUAGACCUAAAGAUUGAACACAAAACAUUAAUAAAGUUGAUACCUUUAAGAGCUCGUUCUUCUC